RNAcentral lists this ribosomal RNA (281 nucleotides) under uncultured eukaryote. RNAcentral's name for it is "partial small subunit ribosomal RNA". It matches the Rfam family "Eukaryotic small subunit ribosomal RNA", at positions 1161 to 1452 of the family's 1831-position model. The record is from RNAcentral.
AGGGCACCACCAGGAGUGGAGCCUGCAGCUUAUAUUGACUCAACAUGGGAAACCUCUCCCCACCUGGAUAUGGACAGGAUUGACAGAUUGAUAGCUCUUUCUCAGUUCCAUGGGUGCUGGUGCAUGGCCAUUCUUAGUUGGUGGAGCCAUUUGUCUGGUUAAUUCUGAUAACCAGUGAGACUCUGGCACUGGCAUGCUAACUAGUUAUGUGACCUCCAAGCGGUCAGCAUCCCCCAACUUCUUAGAGAGACAAGUGGCAUUCAGCCCCCUAAGAUUGAGCA